Tarenaya hassleriana is the source of this 304-nucleotide long non-coding RNA. RefSeq lists it as uncharacterized. NCBI's taxonomy places the organism in Eukaryota, Viridiplantae, Streptophyta, Magnoliopsida, Brassicales, Cleomaceae. The record is from RefSeq and is a predicted model, not a curated record. The transcript has 3 exons.
CCGGAAUCCAGUAGAUGUCACCUGCCUUCAGUUUCUUCUCUCCGAAUUCGUCUUCGCACAUCACUCCAAGAAACCCUUCUUACCCUCGCCGACAAGAUGGAAAUUACAAGGAAGGAGCCGAUGAGGGAAGGAAUGCCCGUCUCAAAGCAACAGAGUUACUGGAAAUAUUGGUGAAAGGAGAAAGAAGCAGAGCUGCUUACCAUGGCAAACGGAGAGGAUGAUGUGCUAAACGAGGUCGUUGCCGAUACAUGAACGGUGUGACAUUUUAGUUUCAAUAUUUUUUUUAAUUUUUUGUUAGAUAUUU